This 85-nucleotide transfer RNA is filed under the name Acidimicrobiales bacterium. RNAcentral's name for it is "tRNA-Ser". It matches the Rfam family "tRNA". Rfam says of the family: Transfer RNA (tRNA) molecules are approximately 80 nucleotides in length. Their secondary structure includes four short double-helical elements and three loops (D, anti-codon, and T loops). Lineage: Bacteria; Bacillati; Actinomycetota; Acidimicrobiia; Acidimicrobiales. The record is from RNAcentral.
GGAACGGUGGCCGAGCGGACGAAGGCAACGGCCUUGAAAGUCGUCGACCCGCAAGGGUCCGUGGGUUCGAAUCCCACCCGUUCCG